This is a long non-coding RNA of Microtus oregoni (creeping vole), 253 nucleotides long. RefSeq lists it as uncharacterized. The transcript has 3 exons. The record is from RefSeq and is a predicted model, not a curated record. Lineage: Eukaryota; Metazoa; Chordata; Mammalia; Rodentia; Cricetidae.
GGAGCUGGGGAGGAUCGGGCUGUAGAGGCACCAGGGAACUGGGGGUUGCGCCAGAGCUGGUGGUAACCGGUGCCUGGGACAGGACUCCAGAGGGAGACAUACUCUGAGAAGUUGGCAGGUUGUAGCCAGGAAAUGCCCAGGUUCCAAUGGAGAGGCCCCACGUUCAUGCACAUAACGGCAGCACUUAAUGGACUCUGUGCAUUUAAAACAGAGGAUAUGGAAUUUGAAGGAACACAUGGGGAGGAAUCGGGGG